UUUUUACACCCCUUUGUAGGAUCAUGCUCAGUCAAGUUGCAUAAGGGAAAACAAGGGAUUUUGCAAGGUCCUUGUGAUAUUCGACUUGCUUGUGUGUUUAUGCGUCAGUGAAUUUCUGGAUCAGAGUGACUUUUCAUUAAGAGAUUGCAGAAAUCUCUCUGUCUUAAGUGUCUUCAGGUGGCGCUUUUCUGAUCAUCAAUGCUUGAAAAGGGUGAGAAAUCUCAGAAGUCUGAUGGAAGUGAGCGCUUUAAGACAACCUGCUUCUAUCUGAUGUGGAGUUUGCUCUGGCUGUUCAUACUGGUCCUUUUUGCCUGGCCUUUAAGCAUGGCCUUGGCAGGCCUUUAUGGAUUUGUCUCCCCUUUCAUUACGUUGGUGGGACUUGAUGACGUUAGCGAUGCCCUGCUGCAAGGAGUAAAUGUGGGGAGAGAGUGUGCUCAGAACGUCAGAAACGGCAAGCCCAUGUGUUGAAGAUGGCGCUGUCUGGCAAGGAUUCUGCUGCUCACUCCAUCAAAUGUCACACCAUCGUGUUCAUCAAAUGUCACACCAUUGUGAAUUUCUCAUUUUUACACGGUGAAUUAAAGAGCUUUUAUUUCAAUGUAAAA
Molecule: long non-coding RNA, 602 nt
Organism: Mauremys reevesii (Reeves's turtle)
Lineage: Eukaryota; Metazoa; Chordata; Testudines; Geoemydidae
Exons: 3
Source: RefSeq, a predicted model, not a curated record